RNAcentral lists this long non-coding RNA (1026 nucleotides) under Cyanistes caeruleus (blue tit). RNAcentral's name for it is "lncRNA (ENSCCEG00000014662.1)". The record is from RNAcentral. Lineage: Eukaryota; Metazoa; Chordata; Aves; Passeriformes; Paridae.
CGGUGCCAGCAGAGGGCCUCCCUUACCAGCACAGCACCGUCUGGAAAUUAUAAAACGCAUUAUCUAUUUGGCAAAACUUUGUGCAAGGAUCAGGAAAAGGGCUGGAAUCCGCUCUCCUCCAGGAGACCGGAGACAGCGCGUCCCCCCCGGCUUCUGUUUUCAAUGCCAGCACUCAGCCGCGUUAAAGCCGUGGGAGCGUUCGUCAUUAAAAUGGCAAUUGUGGAGCCAGGCAAUAAAUUUAACAUCAUAAAAGGCGCUGGGAGGGUCUCGCUCAUCUGUUGCUCUUCAAAGAAAAGUGUUAGUUGCUUCCGAAAAAAACAAAAAAAAUUGGGAAGAAGCAGAGCACUCAUUGCUGGAGGUCCUGCGCAAGAACCUCAUGGAAAAUUGUUUGCUGCCUGCGUGGAAUUCCCCGCCUGGUGCCAACACGGUGGAUGUUUAGGCGAGUGUCACACCCGGCCAUCAAGGGCUGCAUCACCGGCACCGCUUUCAGCCCACACAGCCCGGGACAAACGUUUGGCCGGAGGAAAUGAAGCAAGAGCUGAUUUACACCUAUCGGGAUGGAUCACCACUGACCUCCAUCGCCGAUUCCCGCUGCCACGGGGAGCAUCACUCCGCUGCUCUUCCUCCCUUUGCUCAUUUGGAAGACGGGGGUAAUAAUCCCCAUCACCUAUUUGCGAGGCUGUUGUGAAUUUUCAUGAGCUCCCAUCUGAACGGGGCUUUGAGCAGGAAAACUGCUGUAUCAGCUCUAGGCAAUGAUAAACAAUACUCAGCAUUUACAUAUUCAAAGCACUUUGAUUAACUCUUGGGGUUUAAGGACUUGAGUCGAUUCCCACCCGACCGUAAUGGCAGCUGGACGGGGCGAGGGGCGGCGCCGGGGGAGAGCUGGGGGGAGAGCUGGGGGCUCACCCCGCCGGGCAGGGCCAGGAGCAGCCCCCGACAGAGUCACGCAAAGCGCCUCCUGCCUUAAAUCCCUGCCUGGAACGGAGGAGAAAUAAAUCCGGCUGGUCCCCGCCCGCGGGAAGGGGC